This 289-nucleotide RNase P RNA is filed under the name Rhizobium sp. RNAcentral's name for it is "partial RNase P RNA component class A". It matches the Rfam family "Bacterial RNase P class A", at positions 104 to 367 of the family's 367-position model. Rfam says of the family: Ribonuclease P (RNase P) is a ubiquitous endoribonuclease, found in archaea, bacteria and eukarya as well as chloroplasts and mitochondria. Its best characterised activity is the generation of mature 5'-ends of tRNAs by cleaving the 5'-leader elements of precursor-tRNAs. The record is from RNAcentral. Lineage: Bacteria; Pseudomonadati; Pseudomonadota; Alphaproteobacteria; Hyphomicrobiales; Rhizobiaceae.
GGAAAGUGCCACAGAAAGCAAACCGCCUCGUUUAUCGAGGUCAGGGUGAAAGGGUGGGGUAAGAGCCCACCGCGUCGCUGGUGACAGGGACGGCAUGGUAAACCCCACCGGGAGCAAGACCGAAUAGGGAUGACGCGGGUGCUGCGAAAGUGGCACUACAGCCGGUUUUCGGGCCAGUCAUCCGGGUGGGUUGCGAGAGGCGACGCGCAAGCGUCGUCCCAGAUGAAUGGCUGCCACGUUCCGGGAAACCGGGGCCAUACAGAACCCGGCUUACAGGCCGACUGGUGUU